Molecule: non-coding RNA, 45 nt
Organism: Schistosoma curassoni
Lineage: Eukaryota; Metazoa; Platyhelminthes; Trematoda; Strigeidida; Schistosomatidae
Source: Rfam
AUUCAGCUGACGAAUCUCAAAUAGGACAAAACGCGCGUUUUGGAU